This 465-nucleotide ribosomal RNA is filed under the name uncultured bacterium. RNAcentral describes it as "partial 16S ribosomal RNA". It matches the Rfam family "Bacterial small subunit ribosomal RNA", at positions 28 to 507 of the family's 1533-position model. The record is from RNAcentral.
GACGAACGCUGGCGGCGUGCUUAACACAUGCAAGUCGAGCGAGGCCCCUCCUUCGGGGGGGUGUCCUAGCGGCGAACGGGUGAGUAACACGUGGGCAACCUGCCCUCAGCUCUGGGAUAACUCCGGGAAACCGGGGCUAAUACCGGAUACGACCUCCACGGGCAUCUGCGGAGGUGGAAAGUUUUUCGGCUGAGGAUGGGCCCGCGGCCUAUCAGCUAGUUGGUGGGGUAGUGGCGCACCAAGGCGACGACGGGUAGCCGGCCUGAGAGGGCGACCGGCCACACUGGGACUGAGACACGGCCCAGACUCCUACGGGAGGCAGCAGUGGGGAAUAUUGCGCAAUGGGCGGAAGCCUGACGCAGCAACGCCGCGUGAGGGACGACGGCCUUCGGGUUGUAAACCUCUUUCAGCAGGGACGAAGCGAAAGUGACGGUACCUGCAGAAGAAGCACCGGCCAACUACGUG